This 479-nucleotide ribosomal RNA is filed under the name uncultured bacterium. RNAcentral describes it as "bacterial SSU rRNA". It matches the Rfam family "Bacterial small subunit ribosomal RNA", at positions 1030 to 1506 of the family's 1533-position model. The record is from RNAcentral.
UCGUAGAGGUGCUGCAUGGCUGUCGUCAGCUCGUGUCGUGAGAUGUUGGGUUAAGUCCCGCAACGAGCGCAACCCUUGUCCUCUGUUGCCAUCAGGUUAUGCUGGGCACUCUGAGGAGACUGCCGGUGAUAAACCGGAGGAAGGUGGGGAUGACGUCAAGUCAGCAUGGCCUUUAUGUCUGGGGCUACACACGUGCUACAAUGGCAGAUACAAACCGUCGCGAUGCCGCAAGGUGGAGCUAAUCGGAGAAAGUCUGUCUCAGUUCGGAUUGCAGGCUGCAACUCGCCUGCAUGAAGUUGGAAUCGCUAGUAAUCGCGGAUCAGCACGCCGCGGUGAAUACGUUCCCGGGCCUUGUACACACCGCCCGUCACAUCACGAAAGCUGGCUGUACUAGAAGUCGCCGCGCUAACCCGCAAGGGAGGCAAGCGCCUAAGGUAUGGUUAGUGAUUGGGGUGAAGUCGUAACAAGGUAACCAAGGG